RNAcentral lists this unclassified non-coding RNA (428 nucleotides) under plant metagenome. RNAcentral's name for it is "partial contains 5.8S ribosomal RNA, internal transcribed spacer 2, and large subunit ribosomal RNA". It matches the Rfam family "Bacterial small subunit ribosomal RNA", at positions 358 to 777 of the family's 1533-position model. The record is from RNAcentral.
GGAAUCUUCCGCAAUGGACGAAAGUCUGACGGAGCAACGCCGCGUGAGUGAUGAAGGUUUUCGGAUCGUAAAGCUCUGUUGUUAGGGAAGAACAAGUACCGUUCGAAUAGGGCGGUACCUUGACGGUACCUAACCAGAAAGCCACGGCUAACUACGUGCCAGCAGCCGCGGUAAUACGUAGGUGGCAAGCGUUGUCCGGAAUUAUUGGGCGUAAAGGGCUCGCAGGCGGUUUCUUAAGUCUGAUGUGAAAGCCCCCGGCUCAACCGGGGAGGGUCAUUGGAAACUGGGAAACUUGAGUGCAGAAGAGGAGAGUGGAAUUCCACGUGUAGCGGUGAAAUGCGUAGUGAUGUGGAGGAACACCAGUGGCGAAGGCGACUCUCUGGUCUGUAACUGACGCUGAGGAGCGAAAGCGUGGGGAGCGAACAGGA